This 505-nucleotide ribosomal RNA is filed under the name uncultured bacterium. RNAcentral describes it as "partial 16S ribosomal RNA". It matches the Rfam family "Bacterial small subunit ribosomal RNA", at positions 28 to 507 of the family's 1533-position model. The record is from RNAcentral.
GACGAACGCUGGCGGCGUGCCUAAUACAUGCAAGUCGAACGCACAGAUUAUACCCUCGCUUGCUCCACCAUAGACUCUGACUUGCGAACGGGUGAGUAACGCGUAGGUAACCUGCCUGGUAUCGGGGGAUAACUACUGGACUCGAUAGCUAAUACCUCAUAAUCUUCAUUAUUCCAUGAUGAUUCACUGAAAUGUUCACUUGCACCCCUACCACCUGGACCUGCGUUGUAUUAGCUAGUAGGUCAGGUAACGGAUCAACCAGGCCACGAGACAUAUCCGGACGGAGAGGGUGAACCGCCAAACUGGGACGGAGACACGGGCCAGACUACUGCGGGAGGCAGCAGGAGGGAAUCUUCGGCAAUGGAGGAAAGGCUGACCGAGCAACGCCGGGGGAGUGAAGAAGGGUUUCGGAUCGGAAAGCUCUGUUGUAAGAGGAGAACGAGUGGGAGAGGGGAAAGUGCACACUGUGACGGUACCUUACCAGAAAGGGACGGCUAACUACGUG